GAGGCUUUAGCUUAAUUAAAGUGUCUGGGUUGCAUCCAGGAGUUGUAGGAUAAACUCCUGCAAGCCUUA
Molecule: transfer RNA, 69 nt
Filed under: Ilisha africana (West African ilisha)
Lineage: Eukaryota; Metazoa; Chordata; Actinopteri; Clupeiformes; Pristigasteridae
Description: tRNA-Ala
Rfam family: tRNA
About the family: Transfer RNA (tRNA) molecules are approximately 80 nucleotides in length. Their secondary structure includes four short double-helical elements and three loops (D, anti-codon, and T loops). Further hydrogen bonds mediate the characteristic L-shaped molecular structure. tRNAs have two regions of fundamental functional importance: the anti-codon, which is responsible for specific mRNA codon recognition, and the 3' end, to which the tRNAs corresponding amino acid is attached (by aminoacyl-tRNA synthetases). tRNAs cope with the degeneracy of the genetic code in two manners: having more than one tRNA (with a specific anti-codon) for a particular amino acid; and 'wobble' base-pairing, i.e. permitting non-standard base-pairing at the 3rd anti-codon position.
Source: RNAcentral